AGUUCUAAGACAAAUUGAUAUUAUCAAAGAACAAGGAAAUGACAAACCAGCUAUAUCAGACAGCCUCGGGAGAUUGGACUAUGCACUAGGUCUUGCUGCAUUAUUUUUGAAUCCUUACAUAAAGCCUCCCAUAGCUGUCGGUAUCACUGGUUCUUGGGGUACGGGAAAAUCUAGCCUAAUGCUCCAGACCGAGCGCAUUUUAGUAACAACAGCAGCUCAGAUGAUAUUGUUGCCAUCCUCAAAAUUAUCAAGCUCAGAUUUACAAUUACCUGCUAUUAAACCAUGUGAAUUUUCAAGAAAGGGGAAAAGUAUAUGUGAACACAUUUACAGACAGAUAAAAUGUGGAAAACGAAUAAAUAGAAACAUUUUUCUAAUGUUGUGGGAUUACAUUAGAAGCAUGUUAGGACAAA
Cryptomeria japonica (Japanese cedar) is the source of this 410-nucleotide long non-coding RNA. RefSeq lists it as uncharacterized. The transcript is spliced from 3 exons. Lineage: Eukaryota; Viridiplantae; Streptophyta; Pinopsida; Cupressales; Cupressaceae. The record is from RefSeq and is a predicted model, not a curated record.